AGGGAAACAGCUCAGUGGUAGAGUGCAUGCUUACCAUUCUUGAGGUCCUGGGUUCAAGCCCCAGUACCUCCA
This 72-nucleotide transfer RNA is filed under the name Camelus bactrianus (Bactrian camel). It matches the Rfam family "tRNA". Rfam says of the family: Transfer RNA (tRNA) molecules are approximately 80 nucleotides in length. Their secondary structure includes four short double-helical elements and three loops (D, anti-codon, and T loops). Further hydrogen bonds mediate the characteristic L-shaped molecular structure. tRNAs have two regions of fundamental functional importance: the anti-codon, which is responsible for specific mRNA codon recognition, and the 3' end, to which the tRNAs corresponding amino acid is attached (by aminoacyl-tRNA synthetases). tRNAs cope with the degeneracy of the genetic code in two manners: having more than one tRNA (with a specific anti-codon) for a particular amino acid; and 'wobble' base-pairing, i.e. permitting non-standard base-pairing at the 3rd anti-codon position. The record is from Rfam by way of RNAcentral. RNAcentral also lists the same sequence under 2 other names. Lineage: Eukaryota; Metazoa; Chordata; Mammalia; Artiodactyla; Camelidae.